GUUGUAUAGUCAAGUAAUUAAGUGCAUGUGGUGGAUGCCUUGGCAGUCAGAGGCGAUGAAAGACGUGAUAGCCUGCGAAAAGCUCCGGGGAGGCGGCAAAUAUCCUUUGAUCCGGAGAUUUCUGAAUGGGGGAACCCACCUACUUUAAGGUAGGUAUUGCAACAUGAAUACAUAGUGUUGCAAGGCGAACGAGGGGAAGUGAAACAUCUCAGUACCCUUAGGAAAAGAAAUCAAUUGAGAUUCCCUCAGUAGCGGCGAGCGAACGGGGAUCAGCCCAUUAAGUUAUGUGUGUUUUAGUGGAACGCUCUGGGAAGUGCGAACGUAGAGGGUGAUAUUCCCGUACACGAAAGGGCACACAUAAUGAUGACGAGUAGGGCGAGGCACGUGAAACCUUGUCUGAAUAUGGGGGGACCAUCCUCCAAGGCUAAAUACUCCUGACUGACCGAUAGUGAACCAGUACCGUGAGGGAAAGGCGAAAAGAACCCCUGUGAGGGGAGUGAAAUAGAUCCUGAAACCGCAUGCAUACAAGCAGUGGGAGCACCUUCGUGGUGUGACUGCGUACCUUUUGUAUAAUGGGUCAGCGACUUAUAUUCAGUAGCAAGGUUAACCGUAUAGGGGAGCCGUAGGGAAACCGAGUCUUAAUAGGGCGUUUAGUUGCUGGGUAUAGACCCGAAACCAGGCGAUCUAUCCAUGAGCAGGUUGAAGGUUGGGUAACACUAACUGGAGGACCGAACCCACUGUCGUUGAAAAGCCAGGGGAUGACUUGUGGAUAGGGGUGAAAGGCUAAUCAAGCCUGGUGAUAGCUGGUUCUCCCCGAAAGCUAUUUAGGUAGCGCCUCGGACGAAUACCAUAGGGGGUAGAGCACUGUUUCGGCUAGGGGGUCAUCCCGACUUACCAAACCGAUGCAAACUCCGAAUACCUAUGAGUACUAUCCGGGAGACAGACUGCGGGUGCUAACGUCCGUAGUCAAGAGGAAAACAAUCCAGACCGCCAGCUAAGGCCCCAAAAUCAUAGUUAAGUGGGAAACGAUGUGGGAAGGCAUAGACAGCUAGGAGGUUGGCUUAGAAGCAGCCACCCUUUAAAGAAAGCGUAAUAGCUCACUAGUCGAGUCGGCCUGCGCGGAAGAUGUAACGGGGCUAAAACUAUGUGCCGAAGCUGCGGAUUUGACAUUAGUCAAGUGGUAGGGGAGCGUUCUGUAAGCCGAUGAAGGUGUAUUGAGAAGUAUGCUGGAGGUAUCAGAAGUGCGAAUGCUGACGUGAGUAACGACAAAACGGGUGAAAAACCCGUUCGCCGAAAGACCAAGGGUUCCAGUCCAACGUUAAUCGGGGCUGGGUGAGUCGACCCCUAAGG
This 1350-nucleotide ribosomal RNA is filed under the name Acinetobacter pittii. Its description in RNAcentral is "bacterial LSU rRNA". It matches the Rfam family "Bacterial large subunit ribosomal RNA", at positions 1 to 1396 of the family's 2925-position model. Lineage: Bacteria; Pseudomonadati; Pseudomonadota; Gammaproteobacteria; Moraxellales; Moraxellaceae. The record is from RNAcentral.